UCCCUGAUGGUCUAGUGGACAGGAUUUGCCGCUCUCACCGCCGCUUCCGGUGUUCGAUUCCCGGUCAGGGAA
RNAcentral lists this transfer RNA (72 nucleotides) under Danionella cerebrum. Its description in RNAcentral is "tRNA-Glu". The record is from RNAcentral. Lineage: Eukaryota; Metazoa; Chordata; Actinopteri; Cypriniformes; Danionidae.